This 77-nucleotide transfer RNA is filed under the name Rhizobium rosettiformans W3. RNAcentral's name for it is "tRNA-Met". It matches the Rfam family "tRNA". From Rfam's summary of the family: Transfer RNA (tRNA) molecules are approximately 80 nucleotides in length. Their secondary structure includes four short double-helical elements and three loops (D, anti-codon, and T loops). The record is from RNAcentral. RNAcentral also lists the same sequence under 1 other name. Lineage: Bacteria; Pseudomonadati; Pseudomonadota; Alphaproteobacteria; Hyphomicrobiales; Rhizobiaceae.
GCCUCCUUAGCUCGGUCUGGUAGAGCGGCGCUUUCAUACGGCGACGGUCGGAGGUUCAAAUCCUCUCGGAGGCACCA